RNAcentral lists this transfer RNA (72 nucleotides) under Marmota monax (woodchuck). RNAcentral describes it as "tRNA.Ala". The record is from RNAcentral. Lineage: Eukaryota; Metazoa; Chordata; Mammalia; Rodentia; Sciuridae.
GAGGAUGUGGCUCAAGUGGUAGCGCGCUUGCCUAGCAUGCAUGAGGCAUUGGGUUCGAUUCUCAGCACCACA